Molecule: ribosomal RNA, 460 nt
Filed under: uncultured bacterium
Lineage: Bacteria
Description: partial 16S ribosomal RNA
Rfam family: Bacterial small subunit ribosomal RNA
Source: RNAcentral
CCUACGGGGGACAGCAGUGAGGAAUAUUGGUCAAUGGACGAGAGCCUGAACCAGCCAAGUAGCGUGAAGGAUGACUGCCCUAUGGGUUGUAAACUUCUUUUAUAUGGGAAUAAAAUGUUCCACGUGUGGGAUUUUGUAUGUACCAUAUGAAUAAGGAUCGGCUAACGCCGUGCCAGCAGCCGCGGUAAUACGGAGGGUCCGAGCGUUAUCCGGAUUUAUUGGGUUUAAAGGGAGCGUAGGUGGAUUGUUAAGUCAGUUGUGAAAGUUUGCGGCUCAACCGUAAAAUUGCAGUUGAAACUGGCAGUCUUGAGUACAGUAGAGGUGGGCGGAAUUCGUGGUGUAGCGGUGAAAUGCUUAGAUAUCACGAAGAACUCCGAUUGCGAAGGCAGCUCACUGGACUGCAACUGACACUGAGGCUCGAAAGUGUGGGUAUCAAACAGGAUUAGAUACCCGAGUAGUC